This 416-nucleotide ribosomal RNA is filed under the name Allobates femoralis (brilliant-thighed poison frog). RNAcentral describes it as "partial 16S ribosomal RNA". It matches the Rfam family "Bacterial large subunit ribosomal RNA", at positions 1941 to 2520 of the family's 2925-position model. The record is from RNAcentral. Lineage: Eukaryota; Metazoa; Chordata; Amphibia; Anura; Aromobatidae.
CCUAACCGUGCGAAGGUAGCGUAAUCACUUGUCCUUAAAUAAGGACUAGUAUGAACGGCUUCACGAAGGCUAUACUGUCUCCUUAAUCUAAUCAAUAAAACUAAUCUCCCCGUGAAGAAGCGGGGAUUCAUCUAUAAGACGAGAAGACCCUAUGGAGCUUUAAACACCAAAGACACUUGAUUACACCUACUAAACUUUAUGUAACCUAUCAUCUUGUCUUAAGUUUUAGGUUGGGGUGACCACGGAGAAAAAUUGAACCUCCACGUAGAAAGAAAAUUCUUUUCUAAGCAAAAAGCCACAUCUUAACGCAUCAAUAUAUUGACUUUAAUUGACCCAAUUUCUUGCUCAACGAACCAAGUUACCCUAGGGAUAACAGCGCAAUCCGCUUUAAGAGCUCCUAUCGACAAGCGGGCUUG